Molecule: long non-coding RNA, 926 nt
Organism: Notolabrus celidotus (New Zealand spotty)
Lineage: Eukaryota; Metazoa; Chordata; Actinopteri; Labriformes; Labridae
Exons: 3
Source: RefSeq, a predicted model, not a curated record
CAUACAUCCAUAUAUGGUGCGCACCAGAUGCGCUCUGUUUGCGCAUUCCGAACACGGUUGAGCCCGAGCCGAUGGUCCAAUGCUGCCACCCAUCACAGCAUCACCUGGCUGUGUUUGAUCUGAAAACAACUCUCAAUGACGGACUUAUACUGUCUGUGACAUGUCGGUUAAAUGAAAUCUUCAGAGUCAAGCGUGAAGCAGCUGAGGAGUGGGACCACAUGGAGACACACUCGCCUGCUGACUCUCCAGCUUUUAAUAUGCUUGAAUUGGUGCAGGUGUUCAUGUAAUGCUAACCUCAAGGUUCAGCUUUAAUUAUACUCCUGACAGACUAUGAGCUCCAAUCUCACAUCUGAUGGUUUUCAUGUCGAUCAUUUCUGCCACCCAUUAAUCUGGCUGUGUUUGGAUAAACUUCUGAGGGUGUCAUUUUUGGUUUAAUGUGUUCGUGGGUCAGCAGCAGAGCCAUGGUGUUAAUUAUGGGAGCAGCAGAGCUAUCAUACGCUGGCAGGGAAGACAUUUCUGAAGUGUGGUUGCAAAAUUUCAUGUGAUACAUUCGUGUAAAGGGGGUUAGUCCUAUAGGAUGACUUGAAACUGUUAGCCGUCCAUCGUUCACAGGUUGUUCUAUUACAUUUCUGUCAGUCGAGUCUUUUUUGUUCCAGAUGUGUCUUUCAGCACUGAUCUCCCAAGUUCAAUAUCAGUCCGAGUUAAGUACCAAGUCCCCUAUGUUCAAGUGAGACUUUAGUCUUGGUUUACUGUGUGAACCUAGACUGACUGUGUGGGACCUUUUCGAUGCGUCGUAAAGGGAUUCAGCAGUUUUGUGUCUUGAUCAAGCGGCCACCUCCGGUCUAAAAAUAUGAGUCCAAUGCGGAAGUGAUUAAAAUGUAUAUCAUCGAGGAUCCGCUUGAGGCUGGCUCCGGAAGUACCGGAAA